This is a non-coding RNA of Rhopilema esculentum, 2421 nucleotides long. The record is from RefSeq and is a predicted model, not a curated record. NCBI's taxonomy places the organism in Eukaryota, Metazoa, Cnidaria, Scyphozoa, Rhizostomeae, Rhizostomatidae.
UUAGAACAGUUUAUUUUUAGAACAGAUGUUUAAACAACUUAAAAAAUCACCUUAAGUGGCUGGAAACUUUAUCAAAGCUUUGCAGGAAAUCCUGAAUUUUUUAUUUUGCUGCCAGAAAGAAAAUAUUUUUCAAGCCCUGUAUCUAUCAGCCCCUGCCUUUGUAGCAACCAUUCUCAAAUUGUAAUAUGUCUUAUUCCUAAUGGUCUUAAUAAACAAUUUUCGCUUAUUUCCUAAUCUAGCUAUUAUUUAUUUUCAUCUCAUCUUAUCUAUACACACCCUUGACAUAUUUCCAACUCGUCUUACGUUCUACGUCGUAUUCCUACUACGUUCCAUAUAGUUUAUCCUUCGAUUCUACUGUUCUAUUCUCUUCUUAACUGUUUCUCCUUCUAUUCUUUAUUUACCUGAUGAAAAGUUAAGCUCGAAACGUUGUACCAAAUACACCACGCACAAAACGCAUAGUUUCGACGUAUAACACGCACAAUUUCAUUGACUAAAAAACUCAAGCCUUUUCAGUUUUCGAAGUGGCUAGAAAGGAAGGAUUUGUAGUUGAAGAUAUCUCAUGUUUGAUUACUACUAACGUUUUAUCUUUGUGGCAAAGCGCAAAAUUAAAAUGUACUGGUCUUUACUUCGUAAAAUAUUUUGACUCUCAGAGCUCUGUGCCACUUAUUGGUCGUUUCGAGAGCAAGGAGAAUGGCCAUUAUCCCUAAACUUUCCAUUAAAGCCCUCUUAUCAAGAUCUUAUCAAAAUGUCGAGAUCGAUGUUCACGCGCCCCUUUAAAAGCUGGUUUCCUUGUGUGUGGGUUAUCUUAAUUAAACUAACAACACAGCAAGAAAAAUGAUUAGCUUACUAAAUUAGAAUUUAUCGACGAACCCACUACUAAUAUACUAUAUUGCUUUUGAACAUUGCCACAUAUAUUGCAUUUAGUUUCAUUUUGGAUAGUGUUCCAAAUUUCUCUUCAUCUGUACGAGACAGUAUUAAAUCAAUUUAAUUUAUAAUUUGACUCCACGCUUAUAAAUUUGAAUUGUAAUGCUAAGAUAUAAAAUAAAACAUUUUUCAAGCAUGGAAAUCUAUAUUCAAGACUGCAUAUGGUAAAUUAAUGAUAUCAAAUUUGAGAAAGUCUUAAGAAACAAUGAGUGCUGAUAUUGUUUGCAUUAUAUAUAUAAAAGGGUGUAGCCCCAUGAUCGGCUAUCCAUGAUCACCUCUUUUGGGGGGCAUGUUUUGCUAAUCUUUAACAUAUGAACAAGAUUCGCAAACAUAUCAAUAAAUGGGUUUACAAUGCAUGCAUAACAAUCGUUCAUCAUCCAAAACAUUCAACUCUGAAAGACAUGGAUGGUCCUGCUUUUCAAAAAGGGAUUUUUAAAACAUAUCAAAUAUCAGCGUUGGUAAUCUUGUAUGAGAGCACUGCUGUGUGUGUUGUCUUCAUUUUAUUGGUGUGUUUUGUAUUAUUUUAACAAUUAGGCUUUAAAAAGCAACAGAUCAAAUAGUGUAUUAUCUCCAGUUAAAGUUAAUUCAAAUAUCUAAAAUAUUUUCCCGUGAUACAAACAGUUGCUUGCCAACUGAUGCAGAGGGUAAGGAAUUUUUUAAUCAUGACAGAUCCUUUUGUCUGUCGUAUUUCGCACAUUGGUCUUUCUUUUACACGGACAAAAGAAUUUUUGUUGCAUUUUCUUGCUUUUGAAUGCCAUAAAUAGUAACUAGUGGCCUGUGAAAAAGCAUCACAAACUAUCAACCCAAUCGCGGCAUCCAGGUUACCUGAAGACUGUCUCUGCAGAAAAUUAACCACAAUUCAGCGCUGCCUACACUACCAAAGGAUAAAAAGAGAAAUGAAAUUUGCAGGCGUUGUUUUUCUCCUCAUCAUUGGAUGUGUUUCUGGCGUUUCGGGUAAGGAGAAGAAAUACUGCUCCUGGCCAAGCAAUGUUGGUCAUUUAGUUAGCCUCAAAGAGUUUUCUUCAGGUGAUGGCUGCAACAUCGCGGCUUGUCUCAGCGGAAAACGCAUGGUCGGUGUGAUCAACACAGGAUGCCAAGCUGCUAUCACGGAAUGGAAACAACUUGCAGAUCUUGAUUCCUUUGACAGGCUAGUAAGAAACUGGGACCAAAAAUGCAUCCAUGGUGGAAAAUUUGUGCGUAACCUACAGUUUGGAGACGCAGAAGAAACAAAUAAGGGGCCAAAUAUGCUUUGUGUUAAGGGCAAGAUGGUUAGUUUUAAAGUCAUGUGGAUAGUUUCGAGACAGUUGAGCUCAUUCCAAAGUGGCAAUUAUGUUGGAUGAGGUAUCAUCCACGACACGAGAUUUCGACUCACAGUAAUCUACUCUGCGUAGUUAAUUGGAUGUAGUAUUCUCAAUGUGCAUUAGCAUAGCUUAUUCUAAAAUGUAUGUUGACCUUUAUCAAAUAUAUAUGUGAACUGUAAUAAUAAAAGUAUAAAUA